This 849-nucleotide long non-coding RNA is filed under the name Triticum aestivum (bread wheat). RNAcentral's name for it is "long non-coding RNA (TAES_LNC017429)". Lineage: Eukaryota; Viridiplantae; Streptophyta; Magnoliopsida; Poales; Poaceae. The record is from RNAcentral.
CGGCUUCGCCUCGUGCGGUGGCAACAGGACUAGGGGCACUGGAUCUGGAUGUUCCAGGCUGUUUGGUCAACUCCUUCUGAUGGGGAAAUCUGAGAAACGACGCAGGAAUCAAUGGUGGCAGGAAUCAACGGCGGCGGCCAACCUAAAUCCACAAACAACUACCUGGCCAACCGCAAGUUAGGACUACAGGUUGUCAAAUGAGGGAAGGGGAAGAGUAGUACACAGGUUCGGAGCGAGAUAGUGCAUAGCAAACAUAUAGCAAUCAACAAAAUCCCUACUGACAGUGUGCAGCUACCUACAACAUAUUUAGUUUGCACGAGCGCACUACACGACUACAACAUUGUAAGCAGUGCCUAGCAAAUCAGCAUGAACCAUUUCUGAAAAAUUGUACAGCUAGUUGACGCAACAGAUUCAGAUGUCAUACCUCUUAGUCCAACCAGGGGCAUGAGGGUUGACCCUGUACGUUAACUGCGGAUGAUGUCGGUGAAGCCCCUCGACGACGCCGCUCGCUGCAGUUCGCCCUCUCAGUACCACCGCCGCCAAUUUGCUGCCCGCAUCCAGAUCCAAUAUUCGAGUCCGCCUGAACCGCAGGGUUAGCUUGGUCUGUCGUCAACAACGCCAAAGGUACCGGAUCUGGAUUUCAAGACUGUCCUCGAACUCCUCACUGAGAGGGAACCUAAAAACAAGAAAUCAUGGCCGACGACCAGUGCUGGAAUCAGCUUUCUCGUACGGUAUGCUCGCAGAGAAAUAGAACGGUGAAUCGGCCAGAACUCCACGGAAGACAGCAACACUUACGGUCCACCGCGUCCAGCAAGAACUCAAGCCUGCAUCUUCCAUCAGCAAUCAGCC